UAACUUUCUGAAAAUUUAAUAAUACAAGCUUUUAAAGUGAUGUGUUUCAUUCAAUCAUCCAAAACACACCAUACAUUAACAUCAUGUAACAAAUGAACCAACAUUUUAUUAAUGUGCCACAACUGACAGGUAUAAAAUAUCACAUUGUAUAUUAAAACAGAAAGCAAAAUAUAGGAUUAAAACUUUCUCUUACUGUACACAUCCAAGCAUCUAAACUAUCAUCACAAAAAGAGAGGCCAACAAAUAUUGUUUUGUUUUUAUUCAGACAUUUAAUGGUGUUAAUAACUGUACUAUAUAUUUAUUUAAAGGGCUUCUUCAGUUAUACAUAAAUAUUUGUCACAGUAUUAAUCUACUUGCAUAAAAUCUUGAAAUGCUUGUAUGUAUACAAUAUAAUGAAAAGAUUCUGCUACGGAAAGGACAGUAAAAUAUCAUUCACAAAACAAGCAGAAUGAAAACACAAUCUAUAAAUCAAUCAAAUUUUUUAAAAUAAACUUUUUUCUUUUAAAACAUUCUUUAAUUCAAAUCAUAUUUCCUUUAUAAACUCUGACAAAAGUUCAUAUACAUCUUCAUAUCAAUUACUUUGCUUGGAAACGAAUAAGAGAAAAAUGUUCAAGGUUAAUUCAUUCCAUAAGUAAACCCUGUAUUGAAAAUUUGUCUUAAAUGAUGAUGAAUAAUAAUUUGUUCAAUAGUAAAUGACUUGAGUAUGAACCUUUCAACUAGACAAUAGUCCAAGCACAAAGACUUGAAUAUCUAUACAUUAAUUUAGCUUCAUACAUAUUACAAGCAUAUUUGGUCCUUAAUUCUCACUAGCACUUAAUAUAAACAUAAAGAUCAAAGAAAUGAAAUGAAGAUAAAGACACAGAAGGAAAGAACAGAAAAUACAUAGCAGAAACUCUUAAACUGCACAACAUAAUAGAAAAUAAUUUAAAAUAAUCACAAAGACAGGUUAAAAUACUGACAAAACGUGAACUCAUGAAUAAGCAUAUGUACAAAAAGAAAAGAACUUAAAAUAUAAAAGAACACUAUUAUCUACUUUAUAUAUUUACAAAGUUUACAAAUGUAGCUUUACAUGUAUCACACUGGUGUUUGAUUAUUUACAUCUUUUUACACUAUACAUGUACACUCCUGUGUAUCUACACUAUACAUGUACACUCCUGUGUAUCAUACACAAAACUAACAUUCACAGUCAGACUGGUUCUAGGUAACUUCUUUACAGUUCUCAGAGAAUGACAUUUGAACACACUGUCUCACAGCUUUCUUAUAUAGUUAUCUCCCCUAGAAAAGUUCAUCUGAUGAUGAUAUACAUAGAACCAAUUCAAGUAUCCCAUGACAUAAUAUAUGCCAUAAUGAAAAGCACUUUAAACAUCAAAAACGCAUGCAAUAGUUUACAAAGAAGUAAAUAUAAAUAACUACAUCUUUAGAAAAAGGUUAAUUCAGACUUUCACAUAAAUGAUCAAAAUCUUAAAGGAAAUGUUAAAAAUCCUAGUAUGCAUUCUUUACCUUUAUUGUUUGAACACUAUAUAU
RNAcentral lists this long non-coding RNA (1524 nucleotides) under Mytilus galloprovincialis (Mediterranean mussel). The record is from RNAcentral. Lineage: Eukaryota; Metazoa; Mollusca; Bivalvia; Mytilida; Mytilidae.